Long non-coding RNA from Thalassophryne amazonica, 302 nucleotides. RefSeq lists it as uncharacterized. The transcript is spliced from 3 exons. The record is from RefSeq and is a predicted model, not a curated record. Lineage: Eukaryota; Metazoa; Chordata; Actinopteri; Batrachoidiformes; Batrachoididae.
GUCAGCGUGAACAGGCGCAGAGACUGUGAGAGCCGAACGAGAAGAACUCGCUCUGCCAGCCGCCGGGAGCCGCCAGCUCCCCGGCCGCUGGCACCGAAGGAGCCGGCUAGCUAGGUAGCUAGCUGGCGGGCUGGUGUUGGACCAUCCAUUCAGCAAGAAAAGUGACUGUGUGAACUGAAGAUGGAUUGAAACAUGGAAGCUGGAACCGUCCCAUCAAAAUAAGAGAGCUGCUCCUCUCAGGUUGCACUCUGCAGCUAAUCUGUGUGACUGAUCAGGGAGACAAACAGGACGAUGCCUCCCAG